Molecule: ribosomal RNA, 434 nt
Filed under: uncultured bacterium
Lineage: Bacteria
Description: partial 16S ribosomal RNA
Rfam family: Bacterial small subunit ribosomal RNA
Source: RNAcentral
AGCGAACGCUGGCGGCAGGCCUAACACAUGCAAGUCGAACGAACCUUUCGGGGUUAGUGGCGGACGGGGGAGUAACACGUGGGAACGUGCCUUUAGGUUCGGAAUAACUCAGGGAAACUUGUGCUAAUACCGAAUGUGCCCUUCGGGGGGAAGAUUUAUCGCCUUUAGAGCGGCCCGCGUCUGAUUAGCUAGUUGGUUGAGGUAAUGGCUCACCAAGGCGACGAUCAGUAGCUGGUCUGAGAGGAUGCUCCGCCACAUUGGGACUGAGACACGGCCCAAACUCCUACGGGAGGCAGCAGUGGGGAAUCUUGCGCAAUGGGCGAAAGCCUGACGCAGCCAUGCCGCGUGAAUGAUGAAGGUCUUAGGAUUGUAAAAUUCUUUCACCGGGGACGAUAAUGACGGUACCCGGAGAAGAAGCCCCGGCUAACUUCGUG